RNAcentral lists this ribosomal RNA (460 nucleotides) under uncultured bacterium. RNAcentral's name for it is "bacterial SSU rRNA". It matches the Rfam family "Bacterial small subunit ribosomal RNA", at positions 917 to 1382 of the family's 1533-position model. The record is from RNAcentral.
GGGCCCGCACAAGCGGUGGAGUAUGUGGUUUAAUUCGACGCAACGCGAAGAACCUUACCAGGCCUUGACAUCCCUCGCAAAACUAUGGAGACAUAGCAGAGGUUAUCGAGGAGACAGGUGGUGCAUGGUUGUCGUCAGCUCGUGUCGUGAGAUGUUGGGUUAAGUCCCGCAACGAGCGCAACCCUUGCCUUCAGUUACCAGCAUUCAGUUGGGGACUCUGAAGGGACUGCCGGUGAUAAACCGGAGGAAGGUGGGGAUGACGUCAAAUCAUCAUGCCCCUUAUGGCCUGGGCUACACACGUACUACAAUGGCUAUUACAACGUGAAGCAACAUGGCAACAUGAAGCGGAUCACUUAAAGAUAGUCUCAGUUCGGAUUGAAGUCUGCAACUCGACUUCAUGAAGCUGGAAUCGCUAGUAAUCGCGGAUCAGCAUGCCGCGGUGAAUACGUUCUCGGGCCUU